UCUCAAUUGCCCAGAUGAGCUCAACCGCCU
This 30-nucleotide non-coding RNA is filed under the name Mus musculus (house mouse). Lineage: Eukaryota; Metazoa; Chordata; Mammalia; Rodentia; Muridae. The record is from RNAcentral.